Molecule: non-coding RNA, 110 nt
Filed under: Clostridiales bacterium
Lineage: Bacteria; Bacillati; Bacillota; Clostridia; Eubacteriales
Description: TPP sequence
Rfam family: TPP riboswitch aptamer (THI element)
About the family: Vitamin B(1) in its active form thiamin pyrophosphate (TPP) is an essential coenzyme that is synthesised by coupling of pyrimidine and thiazole moieties in bacteria. The previously detected thiamin-regulatory element, thi box was extended, resulting in a new, highly conserved RNA secondary structure, the THI element, which is widely distributed in eubacteria and also occurs in some archaea.
Source: RNAcentral
UAAAAUAAAACGGGGAGCUGAAGGAAUUCGGCUGAGAGGGAGCUAGACUGCUCCGACCCAUACAACCUGAACUGGAUAAUGCCAGCGGAGGGAAAGAAUAUGCGCUUUGA